UAGAGCAAAGUUAUAUAAUAGUAGGUUUAAUGGGAUAUCCUCAGAGAACUAUGGUGGUAGCUAGUGUAGAAGAGCAUCCAUCAGUUGGUAGAAUUCAGCUUUUCAGUAGCCUUUUCUCCACAUUUGAAUUUCCCUAUCAGAAGAGCUAACCCCUGGUCUCUUACUGCAAGUUAUUCCAAUCUACAGAAGCAAUUGCAUGAGAAGAUAAUUUACAGGAACAGAGAAAUCUGGGCAAGCAUCAAACACACACAGCGUCUGAGACUGGUGACAGCUUUCCCAGUGGAUACUAGGGACCUUGAACUAUUUCUCACAGAUAUUUACUGGAGAAGAGAAACUUCCAGAUGGACUACAAUUACUAGAAUUGAGCAGAUGAUUUUGUAACAGAAUUAGAACUGAUUGGAUUUACCUCUGCAAUUUUAAGAGCACUCUGAGAAAUAUUCUGAUUUAAUCUAGAGUAUUUCCUCUGUACUGAUGAGAAGAUAACCUAAAUUUUCAGAAAAGGGCCUUUCAUUCAACUUAAUGUUAAUUGCAUUGAAAAUACAAUGGAAUAUAUGUAAAUGACACAGUGAUUGAUAUAAAGCAAUCUGAAUGAGGGUUAUGUCUGUUUAUUUGGAACUUGGUUUUCCUUGCCUCUGAACUUUGUACAUCGCAGUCUAGAGAGGGGACAAAUCUGAUUUUUAGGUUACUGUAUGUCUGUAUUAUAGCUUCAACCCAGAAUCUCACAGAGGAAUCAGGGAAACCUCAAUGUACUCUGAUUUAUAUUCAUUUGCAAAUUUCCCUGAUGAAAAAUAGCUGGAGAGCAGCAGGACUGGGCUGAGCUUCAGCCUUUUCCCAGCACUUGUCCUGAGCUUC
Meleagris gallopavo (turkey) is the source of this 852-nucleotide non-coding RNA. Lineage: Eukaryota; Metazoa; Chordata; Aves; Galliformes; Phasianidae. The record is from RefSeq and is a predicted model, not a curated record.